RNAcentral lists this long non-coding RNA (852 nucleotides) under Elaeis guineensis (African oil palm). Its description in RNAcentral is "long non-coding RNA (EGUI_LNC006045)". Lineage: Eukaryota; Viridiplantae; Streptophyta; Magnoliopsida; Arecales; Arecaceae. The record is from RNAcentral.
UCUCAGCCACAAGUUUGAUACAAUGGUACUCCAACAUAAACAAGCUUAGAUCCUUUACAAUAUGUAAUAUUUAUAUUAGAUAUUUCCUUACCUCUUGGUAAAGGAGUCUCCACGGAGAAAAAGAAGACGCUUUUUAAGCGGCUUUGCAUCAAGCUAUAUAUCUUACACUUUCAUUCAGCACAAUAAUAAAGAUUACCUUUUUAUAGCUUUCUGACGGUAAUAACCCGUGUCCAAAAACAAAAAAUUCAAACCUCACGCACUGUGCACGUGAGGCAAGGAGAAGGAAGACUCCCGAUGGGAGCCUUCCUCUUCUCCGAAAACAGUUGGGAAAAGGGAUUUGGGGGCUCAAAACUCAUAUUAAAACCUAGAUUCCAUCUUUAAAAGAUGCUCCCUCCUCCUCCAAGGUCUCCACCACCAAGAUCCGGAGAAAUCUUCACCGAUUUUCAGAAUUUCUUCGAGUAUUUUUUCCUCGGAUUUCACCAGAAUAGGCUACCGGAUUACCUUCUUUGCUUCAUCGGAUUUAGGUAAAGACCUAAGCCCUUACUCUCCUUCUCUUGAUCCUGCAGCCAUCAUCCCACCUUGAUUUUAGCCGGCAGCUCAUUGGAAUCUAAGUUUGAAACCGGAUCCCCAGUUUUCAUUUUUUUUUUUCUCUUUUGAUUUUCCUCCUGCCGGCCCUGCUGUCGUCGCUGGCCAUGUUCAACUACCGAAGCCGAGGUCACCGAAAGUCUGCCACCACGAGGGGUCAUUGUUGUCGGGGGUAAUCGCCAUGGAAAGUGGACGACUAACCAUUCUUUUGUUUCUUCUCCAGUUUCAACAAAGAAGGAAAAGAAGAAAAACAAGAGAAAGAAGAAA